AGUUACCAAAAAAUUUGUGUGUGUCAAACACAUCAAAGUUUUAUUGCCAAAUGUUGUUUGGCAAUAUAUUCCAAAUGGCUAGUUUUGGUAAAUGUACAUUUUCAGGAAAUUCAGGGUUGUUUGUGGCAAAACAUGUCCCUCUGUUUGUGUCCUGCUACAUAAAUAGCAUCAAUCAAUAGCAUGUCCAGUAGCAGGGCUGUUGUUCCCUAAUCUCAGUAUUGCCACAGUAGUGCUGCGAUAUUUAGGCCUAACAGAUGGGUUUAGGAAUGGAAGGAGAAUUCCUGUUUCCUGUAAGGGCUAUGAAUGCUGACCCUUUUCUCUGUCUGCUGCUUUCCUGUGCGCGCCAUGAAGCUGUUUUAUUUUUCUCCCUUGUUCUUGGUCUAGCUGUUGCUGCUGUGGGUUUGCAAUUUGUGUUACUAUGUUUUUGUAGAGUUCUAGUUAUGGAUCACUUCUGCUGUGGCAAAGUGUCAAGAUACAGUUUUCAGUUUAAAGCUUCAGAAACUACAUUCACUGAAAUCAGCGUAGGUGAAACUGAUCUGGCGCGUGCAGCUGUGCUCGCAGGGAUGCUCAGUGGCUCCCCAUCAGAGCAGCAAGGUGUGUGUGGGCAUCCACAGGCUUGUGCUCGGGGUCUGAGAGCGUGCUGUGGUUUUGCUGUUGGAAGAUGGAAUAGAGCGUGUGCCUGUUAAAUCUAAGGACAGUCAAAAGCUGGGAGGGGCUGUAAGCAGGUUUGGUGGCACAACUGCAGUUUUAAAAGAUCUUGACUGUUUGGAGAAACAGCCUGGAAAAAAUAAUUCCGUUUUUGCAAGGAGGCAGUUCACAAGGACAGAUGGGUUGCUGUACUCUUUAACAAAAAUAUCCAACUCGGGAUGUAUAGGGUGAGGAAAUCUUGGCUAUACGUGGGCUUGAGAAAACGUAUGUAGAUAUUUAUGUCUGUCACCAGUGUGUAUCUGGGAAAGUGAGUUGUAGUGAAACUAAAGCUGCCAAUGAGUCAAAAAAAGGCAUGGUUGUCUAAAGAAUGCAAAAGCUCUAGUGGCCUGUAUCAACAACUGUACCAAAGAUGAUGCAAAAUACUUUUCCUCCACUCAGUUGUGGUCUUCACACACCUCCACAAAAAAAGGAAGCUUUAGAUUCCUACCCAGCUUUAUGCUAAAGGGUUUUUUUUCCCCUCUCAGCUGAAUGUCAGCUGCCACCAUUUCACCACAGUCACCCUUUCUUCUGCCAUGAAAGUACAAGACAAGAUGGAAAGAAUCCAUAGCGGUCUUUAAGUACAAGGCUUUCCCAAGAAGCAUUAGCAGCCCUGUAACUAGUGACAGUGAGUCCUGAUGUGUUUUUGCUUUAUUGACCAGGCAAGAUGUGCAGCGGCGCAAGGGCUGUAGCUGUUGUGGUGGAUCUGUAAGUGUAGAGUCUGAUGAUGGUAUGACGUUGUCCUGCAGCCUCACAGGGUUAUCUCCCUGCAUCACUGCUGUAAGGAAGGGAUGAGACAUUUUCCAGCACCAGCAAGAAUGUUUACUUUUAUGCUAAGAAUGUGUUCAAAAUCGUAUCAAUUAGUCUUAAUACUGAUUUUAAGUGUUCAAAUGACUCUAGCUUUUAAAGGAUGCGUUGUAUUUUGAGCUGACCUGUUUACCUAGAAUCCUCCUUUAGCUCAACUACUAUCCUAUCUACUUCCUUCUGUGUUAUUUUUUAAUAUGCUGAAAUAUAGUUUGGGAUUUCUGUUUUUCAGAUGCGGUGGUGUAAGUGUCUUGUGAUGCUCAAUAGAUUCCCCCCCCAGCCCAGCUUUGCCUGCCGGUGGCUAAGAAGACUCACCGUAAGGGGCCGGCCCUGUGUCUGGAGGCUCCCGGCUCUGUCUGCAGCGGGUGCCCCGCAGGUGCGGCAGCAAGGGCUGUGUUGGGGGGGAGAGUCCGGGGCCGAGAG
This is a long non-coding RNA of Gymnogyps californianus (California condor), 1911 nucleotides long. RefSeq lists it as uncharacterized. The record is from RefSeq and is a predicted model, not a curated record. The transcript has 4 exons. NCBI's taxonomy places the organism in Eukaryota, Metazoa, Chordata, Aves, Accipitriformes, Cathartidae.